Molecule: ribosomal RNA, 253 nt
Filed under: uncultured bacterium
Lineage: Bacteria
Description: partial 16S ribosomal RNA
Rfam family: Bacterial small subunit ribosomal RNA
Source: RNAcentral
CACGUAGGGUGCGAGCGUUGUCCGGAAUUAUUGGGCGUAAAGAGCUCGUAGGCGGCUUGUUGCGUCGACCGUGAAAACCCGGGGCUCAACUUCGGGCUUGCGGUCGAUACGGGCGGGCUAGAGUUCGGUAGGGGAGACUGGAAUUCCUGGUGUAGCGGUGAAAUGCGCAGAUAUCAGGAGGAACACCGGUGGCGAAGGCGGGUCUCUGGGCCGAUACUGACGCUGAGGAGCGAAAGCGUGGGGAGCGAACAGG